AGUGAACGCUGGCGGUAGGCCUAACACAUGCAAGUCGAACGGCAGCACAGUAAGAGCUUGCUCUUACGGGUGGCGAGUGGCGGACGGGUGAGGAAUACAUCGGAAUCUACUUUUUCGUGGGGGAUAACGUAGGGAAACUUACGCUAAUACCGCAUACGACCUACGGGUGAAAGCAGGGGAUCUUCGGACCUUGCGCGAUUGAAUGAGCCGAUGUCGGAUUAGCUAGUUGGCGGGGUAAAGGCCCACCAAGGCGACGAUCCGUAGCUGGUCUGAGAGGAUGAUCAGCCACACUGGAACUGAGACACGGUCCAGACUCCUACGGGAGGCAGCAGUGGGGAAUAUUGGACAAUGGGCGCAAGCCUGAUCCAGCCAUACCGCGUGGGUGAAGAAGGCCUUCGGGUUGUAAAGCCCUUUUGUUGGGAAAGAAAAGCAGCAGGUUAAUACCCCGCUGUUCUGACGGUACCCAAGGAAUAAGCACCGGCUAACUUCAUG
Molecule: ribosomal RNA, 492 nt
Filed under: uncultured bacterium
Lineage: Bacteria
Description: partial 16S ribosomal RNA
Rfam family: Bacterial small subunit ribosomal RNA
Source: RNAcentral